GAUGAACGCUGGCGGCGUGCCUAACACAUGCAAGUCGAACGGAAAGGCCCUGCUCUUGUGCGGUGCUCGAGUGGCGAACGGGUGAGUAACACGCGAGUAACCUGCCCUUGACUGUGGGAUAACAUCAGGGAAAAGGGGCUAAAAUCGGAGAGGAGAUCCUGCAGCAUGGUGGGGGAUGGAAAGAUUCGGCGGUUGGGGAUGGACUCGCGGCUUAUCAGCUAGUUGGUGGGGUAGUGGCGUACCAAGGCUUUGACGGGUAGGCGGCCUUGGAGCGUGACCGGCCUCAUUAGGCCUGAGAGACGGCGCAGUCUCCUACGGGAGGCAACAGUCGGGAGUAUUGCGCAGUGGGCGGGAGCCUGUUGCAACGGCGCCGCGUGCGGGAUGACGGCCUUCGGGUUAUGAACCGCUUUCGCCUGUGACGUAGCGUGAUUGACGGUACUUGGUCAAGAAGCACCGGCUAACUACGUG
This 468-nucleotide ribosomal RNA is filed under the name uncultured bacterium. Its description in RNAcentral is "partial 16S ribosomal RNA". It matches the Rfam family "Bacterial small subunit ribosomal RNA", at positions 28 to 507 of the family's 1533-position model. The record is from RNAcentral.